This 8215-nucleotide long non-coding RNA is filed under the name Vitis vinifera (wine grape). RNAcentral describes it as "long non-coding RNA (VVIN_LNC006448)". The record is from RNAcentral. Lineage: Eukaryota; Viridiplantae; Streptophyta; Magnoliopsida; Vitales; Vitaceae.
CCGCUAAACCGAACACCAUUCCAUGGUCCCGAUCGAAAUGUCACAGCUGACCCUUUCCUCAGAAUUAGCUGAGGAUACCCUCUAGGAUCAAGCCGAUAUGUAAAAUCACCUUUAGAAGGGUCAUCAGCGCUCUUCCAUGCUGACAGGUACCGGUCCAGGCCAGUGACUGUGUUCCUUCCAAGCUUCAUCCCUGGGAGAAGAGUAUUGCAUGGAUAAUCGAAGCUCUGCCAUAAGAAAUUUUCUGGGUUGUCGUCAUUUCCAUCUUUCAUGACAAGAUUUCCAGACUCCAAAAUCUGGGCAGUUGGAUUUCGUGCAGAUCGUGAAGAAUUAGAAGACCAAAGAAUGGUAUUAGUACCAUUGAGAACGGCAAGAGUUCCCUGAUCAGUAACCUUCAGAACCCCUGAUGAAUCAGCGAGAGGAGUUUCCCUGUUGGCAACCCACACAACAGUCCUAAUAGAAACUUUCUUGUACCACAUCCCCAAAUACCGUCUGCUUGAAUUAUCCGGUCUGAAGAAGCCCAGUUCAAAGCUCCCACCAGCUGAAGUGAGGAUCUCGCCAUCUCUAAGAAGUUGAUUCAAAGCUAUCGUGUCCACUGUAAAAGAGAUUCUAAAGAUGGAGAAAACAAUAACAAGGGUUAAUGUAAGGGCACCCAUGAUGAUCUCUCAGCGUGGAAGAAUAGUUUUAUUUACGAGAAGAGAUGCCCAGAUGAAGAAUGCCUGAGACCUUAGCAAGAAUGGAGAUAGUUUUUCUCCCAAGCCAUGGUCGCUGAUUUCUACGACCAUGAUCAAUAAAUCAUUUUCUUUCACUCUUCCUGUUGGUAGCGUAGCCCUUGAAUUCAAUAUCGACUCCGACAUGUAUUAUAGAUUAGAGGGCAUCCUUAUACAUAUUUGACUACAAUGGUCCGGUGGUCGUAGGCUCAUGCAUUCAUUCAGAUUCUAAUCAUAUCGUGUUUUUUUGAGAGAGAAAAAAAAUUGAAUCCAAAGAUUCCGAAUUUUACGGCGAAGAAUGCCUGGUCACAUGUACUCUAGAUAUUGUUGGAUUAUAAGGUCAAAGUUAGUUUUGUUAUACUUAUCUUCAUAUGUAUGGGGUUAAAUUGUUCACUCAACUCACAAGUUCGAGCUUCACAAUCAUAACUUUUUUUAUUCAUUUUGAUUAAUGAAUUAUUGAAUAUUGAUACACCCGUAAACGUAAGAAUUACAUUGAUCAUUAAAUCAUAUUAAAAAAAAUUUCUCUUUUUUUAUAUAUAUUAUGUGUGCCCGUGAUUUGGUUAACAACCAUAAUCUUAAAACAAAACAAUCCAUUUCGUAGGCAUCCAUUUUUUUUUUCUAAGCGUUUUCCCACUCAAACAACCAUAUUAGGCACCAUUCGGAUUAAAUAUUUAUAAAAUUAUUUAAUUAUUUAAUACUAUAAUUAUAAUAAUACUAGAAGUGUUUCUAGGUUAUGAAAUUCAAUUUCAUGAUUUUAAUAUAAAUCAAAGACUUUUUCUUUCCAUUUCUUUUAAAUUAUAAUUGUCAUUUUCACUUUUUUUUUCUUUUAAUUAUGAAUUAGUAUGAUGAGAAAAUAAUAAAAAUUUGAUGAAAAUUAAAUUUUAUCCUUUCUUAUAACUAAAAUUCAUUUCUAAAUAUUUAAUAAAAUUAUAAACAUUCUAAAAUUAUUUAUAUUUUUCAUAAACAUAAAAAAAAUAUAAAUAAUUAUUCAAGUAAAUUAAAAAGAGAUUUUAAUUUAUUUAUUAGGAGGAAUUAUACAAAUAUAUAUAAAAAAAAUGAAAUUUUCAACAAAACCCAAGCUGCUUUUCAAAGCAAGUAAGGUUAAGUUUUUUAAUUUUUUAUAUUUUAUUUUCAAUCCCAUGUGAAUGUGCAUGUAGAGUGCUGAGAUGACAUUUUUCUCAUUAGCCAUGAAAUUAAUGGGAAUGGGAACAAAAGAAGGCUGCUAAAAAAGGUCACGUAAGAUCAUGUGAUUAGACCUAUUUUUGGUCCAAGUGGCCCGCAUGUUAUCACCAUGAUUUUAAAAAUCGGACUAGACCGGUCGAACCGUCGACCGAUCAACCCUCCCACCCCCACCCCUCGCCAUGCGCCCCCAAGCCUGGUUGGAAAAUUCCCUCAUCCCCCCUCAUUUCCUCUCUCAAAAUCCCCUUGUGCCUUGCCUUCCUAGUUCCUAUCGCCUUCCAUUUUUAUUUUUUAUAUUUAAUUUCUUAAUUUUUUGUUGAUUAUAAUUGUAAUGAUAUGUUUAACAUUUAAAAUUUUUAUUGUUAUUUUAUUUAUUACACAUUAAAAUUUUAAUUUAUUGAAAUUAUUGCGUUAAUUGACAUCUAUAGGUAAAAAAGCUUUGUGAAAAAACUCAACAAAUAAAGUAGAUAUUAUCAAAAUUUAGAUAAAAUUUAUUUUUUUUAUUUUAAUAAUAUAUAAAAAUAUAUAUUUAUGAUGUCAUCGAUUCGAUCACGGUUCGACCGUCAAUCCGACCAGUGAACCAUGAAUCGAUAACUUUUUCGGUUUAAUGACCAAUUUAGUUCUAAAAACAUUGGAUAUCACCAUAUAUGCUAUUUCAAAUUCACUUGACCUUCGAUAACUCGAUUAAUGCAUCAUUUGACCUUUUGAUUGUUUUUUUUCAAUCAUAUCCAAAAGUUAGUUUCAUGGGUAACACACAAAAAUGCUAGUAUGCGUUGCUGAAGCGGGCCGUCCCUCGACUCCAGGACCUCCCUCAGCUCCAGGACCAUGCAAAGGUGCGAGUGCCUAAGCCCCAGCCUUUUGAUGGUGUAUGGAACAUCAAGGAUUUGGAAAACUUUCUAUGAGGCAUAGGGCAGUUUUUCAGUGCUGCUCAUAUCCAUGUGAAUGAACAAGUAACAAUUAUUUUCAUGUAUCUCUCGGGAUAUAUAUAAAGCUUUGGUGGCAUACAAAAACAAGUGAUGAUGUUGCGACUGGAAUACGAAGGACCAACACUUGGGAGAUAUUAAAAAAGGAACCGAAGGAUCAAUUCCUUCCCAUAAACACAACGUGGAUGGCUCGAGAGUCCUUGAAAAAGUUAAAGAAAACCAACUCUAUCAAAAACUAUGUCAAGGAGUUAUGUCACAAUUUUUAUUUUUUUAUUUUUUGCAGUUUGGCUUAAUAAGAUCGGUUUCCUAAUGUGAAUAAAGAACUCAAAUAUUUUCUACCAUUUAUUUGUUAAAUUAAGAAUUAUUUUCAACUAUUUUAUUUAAAUCCAAAAGAAUUAACUUUUAUAUAAAUCUCAAAUGUGAGCGGUGCUUUUGUAUAAAUUUCUAUACACAUUGUAUGAAAUUAACUAAGGUAUUAUUUGGAAUAUUUUUUUUGCUUUUUGUGAUAAGAAAUUGAAACCGAAUUACAAUUCUUCUUCUUCAAAAAAAAAAAAAAAAACCGAUAUUAUAAAAAAAUUAUCAAACAUGAAAAAACUUCUUUCAUAAACCAAAAUAAAAUUUCUAUAAAAAGUAAUUCUAUAAGAUUGUCAUUUUAGGCAAAGGAGGAGGAUCCAAAAUUAAAAAAAGUGGAGAUCAACAAGCAAUGCUUCCAAUGGACAAUCUACACGUAAUCUCUACGGCCAUUUCUGUAAUAGGAGAAAAUUCGAUACAGUGCUCUCUGAUAGGAGUCAAUUGAGCUUCUACCAAAAAAUUUAUAUUUUCUUCAACUUUCAUAUUAAGUACUUUUUCAAAUCAUAAGUUUUUCCAAUAAAAUUAACUAAAUAGACAUAGAAGCAACGCUUUUGGCCUUUAGAGAAUUCGACCUGGAACGGGGUCUAACUCACAUUCAGCCUUGAGAUAAAGACAACAAAUUCCAUCCAAGUCAAUGUGAAUUUGCAGCUUUGAGUCCCAUAUGUGUUAAAUAAACAGGCGCCCUUGUUAGAAUUUUGUUGUUCCUCUGUAGUUUGGUCAAUUGUGAAAUAUCACAUGGUCUACCUAGUUGGUCUCAUUCCCACAUGCAACCCAUAAGAUGCAUGAGAUGUACAUUCCUUCCUGUCUGUUCCUGGAGCUAACAUGUGAGGGUUUGGUUUAAUGUUACGGUGUCUACUGCAAUGGAAAUUCUUAAGAAGAAGUGAACAGAGAAGAUGAUCACAAGUCUUGUCACAGCAUCCAUGGAUGUUCUAAUGUUUCCACACAUGGUUACACAUCUCCUUGAUGGUUGAUGCCAUGAAGAGAAUGCUUAAAAGCUCAUGUGCUUCCAAGUCUGCUAUUUUUCCAUUGUAAAAAUCUGCACAAGUCCCGUCAAACUUCUGAAUUAACGUAGCUUUCAGACCAUUGACCACAGCUCCAUAAUUUUAUUAAUAUAAACAAUCAAUCCUUUUCUUUCAACAUUUGUAGUGUACAUUGAGGCUUGAGUAUCUUGACUUCAAUAGUUUUAUUUGUAUAAUGUACAGGACAUAAUCAAUCCCCCAGUUGUCCUCAGAGAAGACGGCCUCAAAUCUUGUAGAUGAGACUACCCUCUGGGAUACAUAUAUAUAAAACAAGUACCUAGCCUCUAUACAGAUUCCCAAGUCUUCAAUUCUAAAUCUAACGAAAAUUUGGAUAAACCUAUUGAAUCGCCUGAAGACCAGGUCUUUAGACAAUGAACAUCAACAUGAAUGUCUUUAUCGACCAUCGAACAUUGUAAUGGUGAUCCCAUUGCCUGAAAAUGGCCCCUGAUUGCCUGAGGAGGAAGUUGAUCCCCUUCCAGUGAAAAAGCCAGGCUCUUUAGGCUGAGGCAGUGUACUGUCACUACUCAGCAUCAGAACCACCGAAGACAUGCUUGGCCGCUCAUCUGGACCACACUGUACACAUAAUAGUCCCACAUUGAUCAAACGUAACACUUGUGACAGAUUAUGUAUGUCCCCAACAGAUGAAUCAAUCAGCUCCAUUGACCUGCCUUCCAUGUACAGUGUCCAGGCCUAGAGAAUUCAAAAUCAUGUCAGCAGUAGAUUUUUCAUGGUGAAACGAGGUUGAUAUUACUCUGAUACUUACAUGCCCAAGAAGGUUAAGGGAGUGGUCUGGGUGAGAAAAUCCUCUGUUUCUCUUCCCACUCACAAUCUCUAGCACCAGCACACCAAAGCUAAAAACAUCCGACUUUGUUGAGUAUAGUCCAUCAAUUGCAUAUUCUGGGGACAUGUAACCACUGUAGGAAACCAUUGAACAUAAAAACAUGAAUUUACAAGCAAUAUAAAUAAGAAUGCUUAACAAAAUUACUAGAUAUACUUACUAUGUUCCAACCACUCUUUUUGUAUUUGCUUCAGUUUCGUUUCCUCCAAAACUUCUAGCUAUGCCAAAAUCUGAAAUUUUUGGGGUCAUCUCUUCAUCUAGCAGAACAUUGUCUGCUUUUAGAUCUCUAUGGAUGAUCCUGAGUCUGGAAUCUUGAUGAAGAUAAAGAAGGCCUCGAGCAAUCCCAUUGAUAAUCAAGAAGCGCUUAUUCCAAUCCAGUUCCAUGCUUCGUGUUUUAUCUGCCCAGUUUUUCCUCGGUCAUUUACUAAUAACAUAUUGAACGUGCAUUAAAAAUAAUUCCAUCAACCAAACAAUCAUGGAUUUUCCUGAGAGUGGUUCAGAUAGCGACAACACGUGUAACACUGAAAGAAACUGUGACUGAUCCCCAUUUUCAACUAAUAAAAAUGUUCAAAGGGAUGAAAUGGUUAUCCAAAUCUCUGUUAUUAUAAAGAAGACCCAAAUGGGCAAGGGAAAAUAGAAGUGAGAAUUCUAUAGAUCCAUGUGUUGCAGUGUUGCAACCUGACCAUGUUUGUAAAAAAUUUCCCAUAAACCAUGCAUAAUGGAGAAAAAAAGAACAAUCACUCAAGUAGAUUAGCUAAACUAAAUCUACUGGGUUUUAGAGAGUCAAACCAAAAAUGAAGGAAUCCAAGCUUUUGUUAGGCAUGUACUCAUAGAUCAACAUCUUUUCUUCAUCAUGAAUGCAACCUCCAAGAAGCCUCACAAGAUUUCGGUGUUGAAGUUUGGAGAUGUAUAUAACUUCAUUUUUGAACUCAUUAAGUCCUUGACCAGAAUUUUUUGACAGCCUUUUCACAGCUAUUUCUUGUUCCUCUUGCAACGUACCCUGGAAUUAAAACUCAAUAUCAUGGUUAGAGUAUUAUACCAUUAGGAGAAUGUUGUGUUUGUAUGCAUUGUUCUUUACACUUCCCUUUUUUUUACCCUACUUUCUUCAUAAUGCUGCAAUAUCUAUGUCAUGAUUUAUGAGAAAGAAAUGCACUCUUCAAAUGAACACAUUCUUCAUGUUUCCUUUGCAAAACCUUUAUUUCAAUUUGGUAAGAAUAUCUUUAAGAGUUCAUAAACCUUUUACAAGGGUUAUCAUUGGAUCUUUGCAGGAUGGAUCCCCACAUAGCGCAUCAACCCUAGGCAUGCUAACUGGAGAUCAAUCUGACCACAGGAUGGAACCUGAGCUAUUCUUCACCAAUCUUAAUCAAUUCCCACCAUGUCUAUAAGAUGAUCAUAGUUGAAUCUAAGACGAGAGCAACAAAAUUGGCUGUCUUUAGCCCAGAAAAAUGCACAUAUUCUUACCUUGUAUACAAGUCCAAAACCACCCUCUCCGAGCUUAUUAUGAAUUGAAAAGUGAUUGGUAGCUUUUGAUACUGUAGCAAAGUCAAAUAAUGGUAACUCUACAUCCUCCUUCUGUCCUCCCUCUAAAUUGUAUCCCAUUGUCCCUGCAAAGUGAAGCAAAUGAAAACAAAUUACAUAUUGUAUAAAUUGUGUCAGAAUGUUGGGAUGUAAUUUGGAUGACCAUGGGUGAGGCUCAAUCCACCUUGGGGCCAGUUCAGUACACUGCAAACCUGAACUUGAUUCAUUACCAGCCUUAGAUUAAUGGACCAAUCAUGCAAUUGAACCAGAUUGUUCCCUUGCUUCAUUUGUCCAGAAUAAAGAACCACACAAGUUGAUAUUUUUACUACUGUAUAUAGUGAUACAAGUCAUAUGGGCUGUUACCUUUUUUCCUUAGCUUUUUCUUCUUCAGAAGAUACAAGGUCAAGAGGAGACAAAGGAGUAUUAUUCCCAAACUUGACACCGAGCCAACAAUGACCCACUCUCGUUUCUUCCCUUUGAAGUUGCCACUCCUCCCUGUAGAACCAUCUCAACCCAAGUGGAAAGCAUUAGACAGGUAAACAAGGUCGUAAGAUACAAAAAUGCGAAUUCUACUAGGAGGGACUAUUGAUCCUGAGAAAAUUUGAAGUUCACAACCAUGAAAUUAGUACUUUACAGAGCCGCAGUUGCUGCAGGAAUACAAAGAAUGGUUCAGUUGAACAAUUGAUCAAACAACAAAAAUGCAGUGUUUCCCCCUUCAAAUUUUGCACCAAAAACAUGUUUUUCAGGUAAGGAAAAGAUCGAUGCGAUGCAUACCUAAUUCUGAGGCAGCCAUCCUUACAUAAAGCUCCUGUCCAUUUUCAUUGAACUCUCUGAUAUCAAUCAAGUCACCAAACCAGAGUAAGCAUCCACUUCCUCCAUCUCUUAUAUCCAAAUUUGUAUAAGCGGUGCAAGAGCAGUUACUCAAGCACACUGCCGCACAUUCCUUAAGGUCCAUGCUUCUAUUAAACCAGGAGUUCCGUGUGUCUGGCAGUUUCACACCAGAGAACUUCACAAAACCUUCACCAUUCUGACAACCCAGUGGAGUACUCCGAACACAUCCAUUAGACCAAUCUGCCAUGUCCCAAUCAUUUGGGAAUUUUGGCACAAACCCUUCCAUACACUCACAUUUUGGAGAUCGGUUAAUGUUGCAGCUUCCAUACACACCACAUAACGCAUAACUGUCACAGCUAUCCAUUGGGGCGGAUGAGUAUAGGAUCCAACCAUGGGUUCGAUCAAUCCAAUUGACACGCUGCUUGGAGCCAUCAGGAUUCAGCACCAACCUUGAAACAACUGAGCUGUUAACAAGUUCAUAACGAAAAUACAUCUCCUUUUCAUUAAAAACAAACUCGUAGGUAUAAACAGGGUUGCUCCCUAAUUCGGGAAAGCCGCUAAACCGGAGACCAUUCCACGGCCCAGAUCGAAAUGUCACAGCUGAUCCUUUCCUCAGAAUUAGCUGGGGAUACCCACUAGGAUCAAGCCGGUAUGUGAAAUUACCUUUAGAAGGGUCAUCGACGCUCUUCCAUGCUGACAGGUACCGGUCCAGGCCAGUGACUGUGUUCCUUCCAAGCUUCAUCCCUGGGAGAAGAGUAUUGCAUGGAUAAUCGAAGCUCUGCCAUAAGAAAUUUUCUGGGUUGUCGUCAUUUCCAUCUUUCAUAACAAGAUUUCCAGAAUCCAAAAGCU